GACCUGUCAUUGGCUACAGCAGAAUAAAGUGAAGGUUCUGGAGUAGCCAUCUCAGUCUCCUGACCUCAGUAUCAUUGAGCCACUCUGGGAAAUCUCAAACAUGCAGUUUAUGCAUGAAUUUACAGGAACCGGAGGCUUUUUGCCAAGCAGAAUGGGCAGCUUUACCAUCAGAGAAAAUAAAGAGCCUUGUCUGCAACGACCACAAACGACUCCAAGUUGUCAGUUGUGUUAAAGGAGGCAGCACACUGUAUUAAGAAGAGGGGGAUGUAAACUUUUGAUCAGGGCCAUUUGUGUCGUUUCUGUUGCCAUUAU
Long non-coding RNA from Thalassophryne amazonica, 312 nucleotides. RefSeq lists it as uncharacterized. Lineage: Eukaryota; Metazoa; Chordata; Actinopteri; Batrachoidiformes; Batrachoididae. The record is from RefSeq and is a predicted model, not a curated record. The transcript has 2 exons.